Molecule: ribosomal RNA, 397 nt
Filed under: uncultured bacterium
Lineage: Bacteria
Description: partial 16S ribosomal RNA
Rfam family: Bacterial small subunit ribosomal RNA
Source: RNAcentral
AUACGUAGGGGGCGAGCGUUGUCCGGAAUGAUUGGGUGUAAAGGGCGCGUAGGCGGCCCGGUAAGUCUGGAGUGAAAGUCCUGUUUUUAAGAUGGGAAUUGCUUUGGAUACUGUCGGGCUUGAGUGCAGGAGAGGUAAGUGGAAUUCCCAGUGUAGCGGUGAAAUGCGUAGAGAUUGGGAGGAACACCAGUGGCGAAGGCGACUUACUGGACUGUAACUGACGCUGAGGCGCGAAAGUGUGGGGAGCAAACAGGAUUAGAUACCCUGGUAGUCCACACUGUAAACGAGGAAUGCUAGGUGUAGGGGGUAUCGACCCCUUCUGUGCCGCAGUCAACACAAUAAGCAUUCCGCCUGGGGAGUACGGCCGCAAGGUUGAAACUCAAAUGAAUUGGCGGGG